GGAAUAUUGGACAAUGGGCGAAAGCCUGAUCCAGCCAUGCCGCGUGUGUGAAGAAGGUCUUCGGAUUGUAAAGCACUUUAAGUGGGGAGGAAGGGUAGUAACCUAAUACUUUGCUAUUUUGACGUUACCGAAAGAAUAAGAGCCGGCUAACUUCGUGCCAGAAGCCGCGGUAAUACGAAGGGUGCAAGCGUUAAUCGGAAUUACGGGGCGUAAAGCGCGCGUAGGUGGUUCAGUAAGUUGGAUGUGAAAUCCCCGGGCUCAACCUGGGAACUGCAUCCAAAACUGCUGAACUAGAGUACGGUAGAGGGUGGUGGAAUUUCCUGUGUAGCGGUGAAAUGCGUAGAUAUAGGAAGGAACACCAGUGGCGAAGGCGACCACCUGGACUGAUACUGACACUGAGGUGCGAAAGCGUGGGGAGCAAAC
Molecule: ribosomal RNA, 423 nt
Filed under: uncultured bacterium
Lineage: Bacteria
Description: bacterial SSU rRNA
Rfam family: Bacterial small subunit ribosomal RNA
Source: RNAcentral